This 522-nucleotide ribosomal RNA is filed under the name uncultured Glomus. RNAcentral's name for it is "SSU rRNA". It matches the Rfam family "Eukaryotic small subunit ribosomal RNA", at positions 569 to 1092 of the family's 1831-position model. Lineage: Eukaryota; Fungi; Glomeromycota; Glomeromycetes; Glomerales; Glomeraceae. The record is from RNAcentral.
AGCAGCCGCGGUAAUUCCAGCUCCAAUAGCGUAUAUUAAAGUUGUUGCAGUUAAAAAGCUCGUAGUUGAAUUUCGGGGUCAGUAGGUUGGUCAUGCCUCCGGUAUGUACUGGUCUCACUGAUUCCUCCUUCCUGAUGAGCCGUAAUGCCAUUAAUUUGGUGUUGCGGGGAAUCUGGACUGUUACUUUGAAAAAAUUAGAGUGUUUAAAGCAAGCUAACGCUUGAAUACAUUAGCAUGGAAUAAUGGAAUAGGACGUUCGAUCCUAUUUUGUUGGUUUCUAGGAUUGACGUAAUGAUUAAUAGGGAUAGUUGGGGGCAUUAGUAUUCAAUUGUCAGAGGUGAAAUUCUUGGAUUUAUUGAAGACUAACUACUGCGAAAGCAUUUGCCAAGGAUGUUUUCAUUAAUCAAGAACGAAAGUUAGGGGAUCGAAGACGAUCAGAUACCGUCGUAGUCUUAACCAUAAACUAUGCCGACUAGGGAUCGGAUGAUGUUAAUUUUUUAAUGACUCAUUCGGCGCCUUACG